This 1023-nucleotide ribosomal RNA is filed under the name Paenarthrobacter aurescens. Its description in RNAcentral is "bacterial SSU rRNA". It matches the Rfam family "Bacterial small subunit ribosomal RNA", at positions 56 to 1084 of the family's 1533-position model. The record is from RNAcentral. Lineage: Bacteria; Bacillati; Actinomycetota; Actinomycetes; Micrococcales; Micrococcaceae.
UGCAGUCGAACGAUGAUCCCAGCUUGCUGGGGGAUUAGUGGCGAACGGGUGAGUAACACGUGAGUAACCUGCCCUUGACUCUGGGAUAAGCCUGGGAAACUGGGUCUAAUACCGGAUACGACCAUCUGGCGCAUGUCAUGGUGGUGGAAAGCUUUUGUGGUUUUGGAUGGACUCGCGGCCUAUCAGCUUGUUGGUGGGGUAAUGGCCUACCAAGGCGACGACGGGUAGCCGGCCUGAGAGGGUGACCGGCCACACUGGGACUGAGACACGGCCCAGACUCCUACGGGAGGCAGCAGUGGGGAAUAUUGCACAAUGGGCGCAAGCCUGAUGCAGCGACGCCGCGUGAGGGAUGACGGCCUUCGGGUUGUAAACCUCUUUCAGUAGGGAAGAAGCGAAAGUGACGGUACCUGCAGAAGAAGCGCCGGCUAACUACGUGCCAGCAGCCGCGGUAAUACGUAGGGCGCAAGCGUUAUCCGGAAUUAUUGGGCGUAAAGAGCUCGUAGGCGGUUUGUCGCGUCUGCUGUGAAAGACCGGGGCUCAACUCCGGUUCUGCAGUGGGUACGGGCAGACUAGAGUGCAGUAGGGGAGACUGGAAUUCCUGGUGUAGCGGUGAAAUGCGCAGAUAUCAGGAGGAACACCGAUGGCGAAGGCAGGUCUCUGGGCUGUAACUGACGCUGAGGAGCGAAAGCAUGGGGAGCGAACAGGAUUAGAUACCCUGGUAGUCCAUGCCGUAAACGUUGGGCACUAGGUGUGGGGGACAUUCCACGUUUUCCGCGCCGUAGCUAACGCAUUAAGUGCCCCGCCUGGGGAGUACGGCCGCAAGGCUAAAACUCAAAGGAAUUGACGGGGGGCCCGCACAAGCGGCGGAGCAUGCGGAUUAAUUCGAUGCAACGCGAAGAACCUUACCAAGGCUUGACAUGAACCGGAAAAGACCUGGAAACAAGGUGCCCCGCUUGCGGUCGGUUUACAGGUGGGUGCAUGGGUUGUCGUCCAGCUCCGUGUCCUGGAGAUGUUGGGGUUAAA